AAAUCUGGGACCUCCUCUAGUUCUCAACCUUUGACCCUACCUGAUCAAACUUUUGCCAGGGGAGCCUGAAACCAAGCCUGUUAAAACACGUAAACGCCUUCUCUAGCUCCAUGAUGGAGCGCUGCGAGAAGCCCACCAGACAGGCUGUGGGUGUAAUAACACACCGUUACCAGCCCAAAUAUCACAUGAUGUCUAAAUCCCCACCGAUAAAUGGCGGCUCAGAGUCCCAGAAGCACCGAGUCCUGGGUCCUUCCUGUCUCUAUGACUGUAAGUGGGUAGACCUCAGGCUCUGGGGGCAGCAGUAAGCGGUUAUGCAGAAGCUGCAGGAGUCGGAGGGGUGUCUGCUGAUGUGAGCUUUGCAAGGUGGAAAUUCAAUCAGGGUUAUAAAUUAAGUUGAGUAAGAUAACAUUUUGUAUCAAAUAGAGAUACACAAAAGACUAUUUAACAUUUGUGAGAAAAUAUAUUUUCAUAAUACCACUUUAAAAAGGUUUCCAAAAUCCUCGCCAUGAAGAGACAGGCCGCCUGAAAUCCCUCAACUGCAAAACGUAGAUCGGCUUUUGAUGAAUGUAACAAUGACAGGAAAACUGAAAUUUAAACCUGUCAAAUAAUUAUUGUUUUGUUGUAAAAAAAAAAAAAAGGUUUGCCACAAACUACAACUUAUAUCUACCUUGACAACUAAUGACCCUCGUGGAGAAAUUGACUGGUGACUAAUCACGAAUGUACGAUUGUUUAGGAAAAACCUGAUCUUUUCCUAAUUAGUGAAUGUCUCUUGGAACAACUAAGCUCCAAGAGGUUCAUUUGGCAAGACUCAGUGUGGACGCUAACCUGCAGCCACUUUAGUUACUUUUAGUAUCAAUGAGCUGUUCAAAAAAGAAGUCAGAUGAAGCACAAAAGGUAAAAGAUGAUUCUAAAAUAAGAGAAACCCUUUUACUUCACAGGCAUGGCACGCAUGGUCCUUUGAGACAAGUGGUGAGAUUUCAGUGAAAAACAAGAAGUUGAAUAAGAAUUUCUCAACGGUAGACGAGUUGAUGGCACUGUUGCCUUGCAAAAAUAAGAUAUUAGAUUUGAAUCCCGGUCUUGUUUUUGUCUGUAUGAGCCAUGUGAGUGUGUUGGGGUUUAAGGGAGGGCUUCUCAGUGGGUAUUACAGCUUCCUCCCACAGUCUAAAAACGUGAGUUAAUGGCUUAAUGGGAGUGUGUGUACAUUGUCGUUUCUCUGUGUGUUUCCCUGUGAUGAAACGGCAACCUGUACAGGGUGUACCUCCUCUAGACUGAUGAUCGCUGCAGAUGGGCACCAAUAUUUUACCAGGAUCUUGUCUUGAUGAUGGGAGAAUCCAACCACUGUGCAAAGUCUGGACUUGAGACGACCCUCAGAUUACAGGACUGCCCUCUCUGGCUUGUACAGGCAUGAUGGGUUCAUCACUUCAUCUGCAACACUUUUUACCCCGAUGUGCUCCUCACACCAGAAGAAGAAAGAUUUCCACAUAAGCCAAAUCAGGGAGGUGCAGGCAUGCUUUGCAAAUCCUCUGCGGACAGAGGAAACAUGGAAGGGGCACGUGAUCGCACAUGGCGUUGGCACACUCCGAACCCCGCAGGCUAAACAGGUGAGGUUUAAGAAAAAGCCAUACAGGGUGUAGGAACAUUCGCGGGAUUAAAGGGGACAAGGACCCACCUUCACGCCCCCGUUUCUUAAUCUGUGCUUUUGUGACCAGCACACACAAAGAUUGUGAAGAUGUAUGCAAGUGAUCUGAGAGUUAAAGCCGGAGGUUUUGGAUGAGUGUGUUCAAUGACAUUGGAGGGACAACGACCAUAAACUACUCCACAUUUUACACCGUCAGCACACACGCCUGACCCUGCUGUCUGGAAACCAGGUCACGCCACAAGUCCGGCCUUCAGUUUGUAAUAAAGAUGUUUUAUGAAAAAAAAAAAAAAAAAAGCUUUAUUAUUAGUAUAGGAAUACUUGUUUAAAAAAUUAAAAAUGGCAAACUUAUAGUCAGAAAUUUGGUCCAGGACAUUUUGUUUAAGAAACACACAGUCGGAAUCUGACCAUAGCGGCGAAGAUGAUCGAAAAACUCUUCUUGUGUAGAGCGCAGAUGAGUAGCUGUGCUUACAUUACAAAUGUGCGCAAAACUUUGUCGAUAUUCCGCUUAUGUUGGGG
This is a long non-coding RNA of Xiphophorus couchianus (Monterrey platyfish), 2155 nucleotides long. RefSeq lists it as uncharacterized. The record is from RefSeq and is a predicted model, not a curated record. Lineage: Eukaryota; Metazoa; Chordata; Actinopteri; Cyprinodontiformes; Poeciliidae. The transcript is spliced from 3 exons.